RNAcentral lists this ribosomal RNA (496 nucleotides) under uncultured bacterium. RNAcentral's name for it is "partial 16S ribosomal RNA". It matches the Rfam family "Bacterial small subunit ribosomal RNA", at positions 29 to 507 of the family's 1533-position model. The record is from RNAcentral.
AUGCACGCUGGCGGCGUGCCUCAUACCUGCCAGUCGCGCGAACAGACGAGGAGCUUGCUCCUCUGACGUUAGCGGCGGACGGGUGAGUAACACGUGGAUAACCUACCUAUAAGACUGGGAUAACUUCGGGAAACCGGAGCUAAUACCGGAUAAUAUAUUGAACCGCAUGGUUCAAUAGUGAAAGACGGUUUUGCUGUCACUUAUAGAUGGAUCCGCGCCGCAUUAGCUAGUUGGUAAGGUAACGGCUUACCAAGGCAACGAUGCGUAGCCGACCUGAGAGGGUGAUCGGCCACACUGGAACUGAGACACGGUCCAGACUCCUACGGGAGGCAGCAGUAGGGAAUCUUCCGCAAUGGGCGAAAGCCUGACGGAGCAACGCCGCGUGAGUGAUGAAGGUCUUCGGAUCGUAAAACUCUGUUAUCAGGGAAGAACAAAUGUGUAAGUAACUAUGCACGUCUUGACGGUACCUAAUCAGAAAGCCACGGCUAACUACGUG